GAACGCUGGCGGCGUGCCUAAUACAUGCAAGUCGAACGCACAGCGAAAGGUGCUUGCACCUUUCAAGUGAGUGGCGAACGGGUGAGUAACACGUGGACAACCUGCCUCAAGGCUGGGGAUAACAUUUGGAAACAGAUGCUAAUACCGAAUGAAACUUAGUGUCGCAUGAUACGAAGUUAAAAGGCGCUUUGGCGUCACCUAGAGAUGGAUCCGCGGUGCAUUAGUUAGUUGGUGGGGUAAAGGCCUACCAAGACAAUGAUGCAUAGCCGAGUUGAGAGACUGAUCGGCCACAUUGGGACUGAGACACGGCCCAAACUCCUACGGGAGGCUGCAGUAGGGAAUCUUCCACAAUGGGCGAAAGCCUGAUGGAGCAACGCCGCGUGUGUGAUGAAGGCUUUCGGGUCGUAAAGCACUGUUGUAUGGGAAGAACAGCUAGAAUAGGGAAUGAUUUUAGUUUGACGGUACCAUACCAGAAAGGGACGGCUAAAUACGUGCCAGCAGCCGCGGUAAUACGUAUGUCCCGAGCGUUAUCCGGAUUUAUUGGGCGUAAAGCGAGCGCAGACGGUUGAUUAAGUCUGAUGUGAAAGCCCGGAGCUCAACUCCGGAAUGGCAUUGGAAACUGGUUAACUUGAGUGCAGUAGAGGUAAGUGGAACUCCAUGUGUAGCGGUGGAAUGCGUAGAUAUAUGGAAGAACACCAGUGGCGAAGGCGGCUUACUGGACUGUAACUGACGUUGAGGCUCGAAAGUGUGGGUAGCAAACAGGAUUAGAUACCCUGGUAGUCCACACCGUAAACGAUGAACACUAGGUGUUAGGAGGUUUCCGCCUCUUAGUGCCGAAGCUAACGCAUUAAGUGUUCCGCCUGGGGAGUACGACCGCAAGGUUGAAACUCAAAGGAAUUGACGGGGACCCGCACAAGCGGUGGAGCAUGUGGUUUAAUUCGAAGCAACGCGAAGAACCUUACCAGGUCUUGACAUCCUUUGAAGCUUUUAGAGAUAGAAGUGUUCUCUUCGGAGACAAAGUGACAGGUGGUGCAUGGUCGUCGUCAGCUCGUGUCGUGAGAUGUUGGGUUAAGUCCCGCAACGAGCGCAACCCUUAUUGUUAGUUGCCAGCAUUCAGAUGGGCACUCUAGCGAGACUGCCGGUGACAAACCGGAGGAAGGCGGGGACGACGUCAGAUCAUCAUGCCCCUUAUGACCUGGGCUACACACGUGCUACAAUGGCGUAUACAACGAGUUGCCAACCCGCGAGGGUGAGCUAAUCUCUUAAAGUACGUCUCAGUUCGGAUUGUAGUCUGCAACUCGACUACAUGAAGUCGGAAUCGCUAGUAAUCGCGGAUCAGCACGCCGCGGUGAAUACGUUCCCGGGUCUUGUACACACCGCCCGUCACACCAUGGGAGUUUGUAAUGCCCAAAGCCGGUGGCCUAACCUUUUAGGAAGGAGCCGUCUAAGGCAGGACAGAUGACUGGGG
This 1468-nucleotide ribosomal RNA is filed under the name Leuconostoc mesenteroides subsp. mesenteroides. Its description in RNAcentral is "bacterial SSU rRNA". It matches the Rfam family "Bacterial small subunit ribosomal RNA". The record is from RNAcentral. Lineage: Bacteria; Bacillati; Bacillota; Bacilli; Lactobacillales; Lactobacillaceae.